ACUCAAAUGAAUAGACGGGGGCCCGCACAAGCAGCGGAGCGUGUGGUUUAAUUCGAGGCUACACGAAGAACCUUACCUGGGUUUGACAUUGCGGUGGUAGGGAACCGAAAGGGGACCGACCUUCGGGAGCCGUGACAGGUGCUGCAUGGCUGUCGUCAGCUCGUGUCGUGAGAUGUUCGGUUAAGUCCGAAAACGAGCGCAACCCUCGGGUCUAGUUACAGGUGUCUAGACCGACUGCCCGUGAGAAACGGGAGGAAGGUGGGGAUGACGUCAAGUCAUCAUGGCCUUUAUAUCCAGGGCUACACACACGCUACAAUGGACGGUACAACCGGUUGCCAAGCCGCGAGGCGGAGCCAAUCCCAAAAAGCCGUUCGUAGUUCGGAUUGUAGGCUGCAACCCGCCUACAUGAAGCCGGAGUUGCUAGUAACCGCCGGUCAGCCAUACGGCGGUGAAUACGUUCCCGGGCCUUGCACACACCGCCCGU
Molecule: ribosomal RNA, 484 nt
Filed under: uncultured bacterium
Lineage: Bacteria
Description: partial 16S ribosomal RNA
Rfam family: Bacterial small subunit ribosomal RNA
Source: RNAcentral